UUAUCUAAGAAGGUAAAAGCGAUAUCUCGGCCGCUCGAUGAUUUGAUUUGACUUAUGUGCCGGGCCCGGUCAGAACUGAAUUGAUGUGUUCGAUUAAGUUCUAUGUCAAAUAAAUCAGAGAUCGAGAAACCUAAAUGCUUGACUAACCAUUCCAUAGGAUUGUCAGCAUGAUAUCUAACAGAGGACUGUACGUUCCCUUAUCUAAAGGACAAGAUUGAUUAGAUCAGAGUUGACAGCGUCUUUGAGAGCUACGAUUGCAAACCGAAUUGUACUUGUAUAGUUACUAGACUUAUCCAAGUGGGAGACUGUUGGAAUAGUGUCUAAGGCUGUAACUAUAUUAGGCAAGUAUUUGAUCCGGUUGUGCAUGGUCCUUUUGGGUUGCCUUCACCAUAGCAACUUGAUAGGAUGAUUUAUUAAGAGAGAGUAAAUAUUAUUAGUAUAUUAUGAGAAUAAUAUAAAGAAUAAUAUAUUGUUAUUUGAUUAAUAUAAGUCAUAGAAUUAAUUGGAAUUAAUUUGGUGACUUAAAGAGAUUAAUUAAAUAAGAGGGUAUAAACUGUCAAUUGUUUGAUAGUUAAACUUUAGACUGUAAAUCCAUAUAGAUAUGGAUUAGACGGAUUCUAGAAGCUAAAGGAUAGCUCAAAUCGUCCAUUGCUUAUCUAAGGAAUGGAUUUGGAUAGCCUUAAGAGAAGAUUAUCCACUUAGGGUUUAGGUUGUUACCCUUAAGGAGUCUACAAGUAUAAAUAGACCCUAUGGCAAAGGGAAAUCGACACUUCAUCCAAUGUAAGAGAACCCUGACCGAUUUCCUCCCCGCUCCUCUCUCCCAAAUCAUCCUCCUUGCUAUUUGGUGUUUGUAAGCCAUUAGAGGAGUGACAAUUGUGACUCUAGAAGCUCCAAGACAACAAGAUCAACAAGGAAUUCAAAGGUAUGAUUCUAGAUCUGUUUUAACAUUGUUCUUAUUCCUAAAUAGUCAUUAGAAGUCUUGGAUUCAAAGCAUGUUUAAUUAGAAAGCCUAGAUCCAAGCAUUAGGGUUUUGCAUGCGCACAUAGGAAAGUUCUUAUGGCUAAAACCCAUCAAUAAGAAUAAUAUAUUAAAGGGUAAAUCAUAGAUGUUUAAUUAAUAUUGGUCAAUAAUUAAUUAGAUUAAUUUUGNGUGAUCAAGUGUAAUUAAUUAAACUAGAGGGGCUGAAUUGUAAUUAUGUGAUAGUUACAAAGUAGGGUAAGGAUUAUCCUAAAUAUGGGUGGACGAAAUCUAAAGGAUAUGGAUCCUUGAAAUCGUCCAAAGAUGUGGGCUUUCAAGGCUUAUCUUAUUGUUACUUGGUGGGCAAGCAACUAGAUAAGGAUAAGGACUGAAACCCUAAUCUCAACCUUAUAUAAAGACCCCUAAGCCUCAUGAGUUCGUACACUUGAUUCUAAGAGAUCAUAGGGUUGAUUUCUACCUCCCUAUUCUCUCUCUAUAUCUUCUCUAAUUGCUUGUGGUGUUUGUGAGCCAUUAGAGGCACUACACUUGUGGUGCUUGCUUUCAAGACUUAGGGUUUGAAUAUCUAAGUUGUUAUUACAAUAUAACAACAAAAGGUAUGUAAUCUAAUCUUCAUGGUGAAUUUCAAUAAUAGUAAUCAUCAUUAGGGUUUUAUUAUGUGUUCAUAAUGUUGUGUAUCUAAUAGUGAAAACAUAGAUCCAAUUCUAGGGUUGCAUGCACACAUAGGAUUGUUUGUAUAAAUCCCAUCAGGAACAUUAUGCAAAACUUGACAAGACAAAUCAAGUUGUUGAGGCUUCAGCUUCGGUAUGCAAGGAAAUGACCGAAAAAUUCGAUAAACUAAUUACCGAUGCUCAAUCCUUUACGAGCACUUUUCAUAACUCAUUCGAAUCCAAUACUGCGAAGGCGAAUGAAGUAAUUUCCAGACUUGGAUCAACUCUUCGCACAGAGAAGGAUGCACUAGAAAAGGUUCGCACUGGCAUCCAAUCUGACAACUCAGAGCUCAACUCCUCAAUCUCUUCCAAAAUAGACAAGCUUCAUGAAGAUUUUGCAAUGGGGAACAAGAUAAUGGAUCAGCUCACAGUCAAGAUAGAAAAAGUGAAGGUUCUAACUGUCAAGCUAGAACAAGCUAAGAGCAGAUCAAUACGCUUUUAUCCAAAAAGGCAGUGAUGAAGAUGUUGGAUUAGGUGUCUAAGCCCAUAACAAUAAUUGGUAUGUACUUGACCCGAGAGUAGCAUGGUCUAUUUGGGUUCAUUCGCCAGAACAAUCUGAUAGGAUGGAUAUUUGAGAAAGAGGUUAUUUGUGAUUUAUUAAAAUAUUAUAAGUAUAGUAUAUUAAUUGAGAAAUCAUAUUAUUUAAUUAGUAUUUAUCAAGAAUUAAUUUGGAAUUAAUUUAGUGAUGAAAAGAGACUAAUUAAAUCAAUGGGGACUGAUUAUGUAAAUCAGUGAUACAUAUGGUUUGGGCUAUUGAUCCAUGAUGGGCUAAGUUUAUGUGAGAGUCCAUGAAGAGUUAGUCCACAUGAGUUAUGGAUCAUAAGCCUAAGUGUAAGAAUUAGGGUUACAUAUGACUCUUGGAAUUCUAACACUAUAUAUGUAACCCCUUAGACCCAAAAAUCGGAGGCACAAUUGAUAUAGCAAGAGUAAGCCGAUUUUACGGUGUUCCUAACCUGUAUCUCAAGUCAUCAAAUUUUUGGUGGUGCUUUGUUAAGCAUUUAAGGCAUCAUAUUUGAGGUGAUAAGCUCUUAAAGGCUAAAUUCUACAUGCUACAACUAAGAUGUAUUCUUCUAACCAUUUUUAAUGUUUCAAGUAUCCAAGUUGUAUGCUAGUUAUAGGUUUCAUGCUUUGGAUAAUUUUUGUUGCAUGUAUAACUAGAGAAAACUUAUAUCCAAAGCAUUAGGGUUGUAUGUGCACCAUAGGAGUGUUAUAUACGUAAAACCCAACAUAAGAGUUGUGUUGCAGAUGUGAACGCCUUGCUCUCAGACAUAAUUGAGACUCAUGAUUCUUUAAUCACGAUCACUGUCAAAAAGCAUCUGGUUGAAAAACUUCGACCUGUGUUUGGGAUGCUCAAUAGGAUUGAAGGUGUUCAAGAUUCAAUCUCAAUUCCAAAACAAGGGGAGAGCAUGUGAGGCAAUCUAAGAAUGAAACCUCGAAACCAACUGUAAAGCCACCUAUGAAGCCAAAGACAAAAAACAAACCGAAGGAUAAUGCAGCUUCGCGUUCGAAAGGCAAAAAAAAGAUCUAUGAUGAAAGGAUCAUUGAUGAUAGUGCAGAAGAAGAAUCCGAUGAGCAUGAGUUAAAAAAAAUGAAGGCUCGUGUAGCUCAAAUCGAUGAACAUUAUCGGAUUGUGAGAGAAGCAGAAGAGAAAGAGAAAGCUCAAGUCACACUGGAAAGCCGAAAGCUAUUAUUUCCAUGUGAACUUUGGAGCGAAUUAUGAGAGAGGCUAUAGACAUCCCAAGCCAAUAUUGGUCAGAGCCUGUUGCUUCUUUCGAUUUGCAAAACACACAAGAUUCGCACCUGGAUCUUCCAAUAACACUGAAAGCCUUCAAGUUUCGUAGCUUCAUCAAUGUUGCGAACAUUCCUCUGACAGACAGCGGUGCUGACCAUUUGCUCUUAUCCUUCUACUUAAAGCACAUGAAGCCUCAGUAUGAAACCUGGAGUGCGAAAAAGAUAACUGUUGUGAAGGUUUUAGGUGCGAUUGAAACCAAUAGCUUCCCAAACGCUUGUUUUAAGGUUGCUAGAGAUUCUACGAGUCAGGUAUGCGAAUUUACACUUGCUUAUCUACCUUUCCUGAACCCGUACGAUUGGAUUUUGAUAUUCAACAUGUAGCUCAAGGAUGAACACAAGUAUGAACCCGUUGUGGCUCAUCUCAAACGAAUGUUAAUCUCAUACAUUCAAGAGGUUGGCAAAAUGGAUGUUGAAAUUGCAACCGUUUUGCGAAAGAGGCCGUCUGUGCUCCCCAAGGAAGCUCUAAAAGAUUUUGACAAAAUGAAGCUGGGGAAAAUACGAAAGGAUGGCUGGUGCAUGGCUUUUCAAAUGAAAGAGCGAACAGGUGCAUAUUUCCACAAAGUUUGCUUCUAUCUUGCAGAUAAGCAUCUUCACCACAUAUUGCAUGCAAUAUAUCCUGGAGUUUAUGGAUAAAUUCAAAGGGAAUCGUAAAGGGGAUAAGAAGUGUUUCUCUGAUAUGAUCCUUUGGUAUAUUCAGGUUCGCAAGGCCUUGUUGAGCAUCAUUCCGAAGCUCUUUGAAGUUCAGAAGCGAACUCCACAGUGAAGGUCUCCUACCUCAAUUGACGCAAAGGGGGAGAUUGCUGGAUCUUAUAUGUUGUGUCUUUGAGUUUAUAUUGCUUAGUCCAUUUGUAUACCGGGUUGGGCCUUUCCACCCGUUAAUUAUUAUUAUUAGGGUUUUAUUAUUUAAUGUGCAUGCAUGCAUCGUAUCUUGUAAUCGUCUAAGUUUGUAAACCCUACACAACCUUUACAGUAGAAGUUCUUUAUUAAUCUCUUCUAAGGAUGUGAUUAUUAAUCAUUUGGCAUAUUUGAUCAUCAUUGUGUGUUCUUGAUUCAUUUACCUAUUUAAAUCUAAUCAAUCAUACAAAUUUUAUUCUUAACAUUACUAUUUGUGCUUCAAACCCAUUCCAGCCGAUAAUUAUUUGCACACCACAGGUUCUGUCCACCUGCCACCUUAAAUUACUUUUGUCGGUUAUUCAUUAAUUCCACAUAGCUUUUUUCAGAUCUCCACCAUUCUGAUAUAUUUGGCUCGUACCCAUACCCAUCAUCCUGAGACCUUCACCUGCCCUUCCUCGGUUUAGUGACUGUCCAACCCCAUCAUCAAAUUAUCAUUGGUUGGAAGUAAUGUCAUUAUUUCCGAGAUGAACUUUCCAACCCAUUACUGGAUUCUGAGAUUACCUUUUCAGACCCUUUUUUUGUGAAUAAUAUUCAACUUGGAUCCACCUCUACCAAUUUCCAUCUUAGAUUAAUUCACAAUUCGAAUCAGUGUUCUAAAAGGCGCGCCAUGGCGUGAGGCGUGGCUCCGCCGUUACGAAAAUCCUCAGCAACUUUGCUGUUAGGUGUGGCGCGUGGCAAGGCGUGAUAUGGCGCUCCAUGGCGUGUUAUGUCGCAUGUCUUUUCAUUUGAGACACGCUUUUUUGCUCGUUGUUAUGUCUUUUCUAAUCGGAGAUAUAGUUAUUGUGGUUUUCGUUAAAUUUUUGUUACUAGAAAUUGAUCUAACACUUAUAAAAAUUAGUUAUAUUUAAUAUAAAUUUAUAUUUAUGUGGUAAUAUAAAUCUUUAAAUUAAUACAAAAUCUCCGCUUUACAUCACGCCUUGAAAAACACCAUGGCUCGCCAUGGCUCGUUAAACUUGAGGCUUGACCUUGCCGCCAUGCCACGCCUCACGCCGUUUAGAACCUUGAUCCGAAUAACUUGUUUUAAACCCAUAUUUUGUUUACCAAAUUCAUUUCUUUUAUUUCUUUUAUGUUUAAACCAAUUAACUUCAGUUAAAACUCAUUUUUUUUAUUAAAACCAAAUUUUUUUAUUAGAUUCAGUUAUUUUUUUAAACCAAAUAUUUUUUAAUACCAAUUUUAGCCCCAUGGUUUCAGACUUCAUUCUUCUAGCUGAUUACGAGUGAAGACACAAUUAUUUGAGAGAUUAUUACUUGUGUAUUCUUCCUCUUUCCGAGCAACUCGCAUUUGCAGCCUCCGAUUUAUAUGCUUUAGAGAUUCAGAUCCACAAAUUUUCAUUUGGAAACUUGUUUGGCCAACAAUGUUUUCCAAGGUUAGCAUUUUUUUGAGGUUCACAUUUUUACUUCCUUCAAACUGGUUACAUAUUUUCUCGGACCAUCAUUCGGACCGAUUAGAGUUCUAGACCAAUUCACUUCGACCUUGAUUGACGAGUCAUUGGUAGGGAUGUCAACAGGGGCAAACGGGAGCGAAAAUAAGUGCCCCCGCUCCCGCCCCUGAAAUCAGUUGUUGCCCCCGCCCCCGGUUCCCCCGUUCACAUAGCCCCUGGUCCUGCCCCCGUUCCCCCGAUUCCCCGAUUUAAAAUUGGAUAUUUUUUGCUAAAAAACUGAUUUGUUUUUGGCAAACAAUCGGUGAGAAAUCAUGUAUAUGACUUAUCUAGCUAAAAAAUACAUGUAUGAUUGAAGUGAUGAAAAUUAUAAAAUUAAAAAUCAUGAAUUGAUCCAAAACUUCUAUUACAGUUCCAAGUAGUGAUAAAAAUACAUGUAUAUAAACAAACAUGUAAGCCUUUGAUAAACACAAUUGACUUCUAGAUUCUAUUACAGUUCUAAACUUCUAUUACACUUCUAGACUUGUAGUUUGUGAAAUUGAUAGCAGCAAGCAACAAAUUAAGACUGUGAAGUGUGAAUUGUCAAGACCGAAAUAUGUUCAGUGUUCACUGAAAUAAAGAGUGUGAAAUUGAUAGCAGCAAGCAAAAUUAAAUUAAGACUAUGAAUUGAAUCGGAGAAGGAAAGACAAAAUAAACCAUAAUUGAGAAAUUAAUAGCAGCAAGCAACCUCAAUCCACAAUAAUGUUUGAAAAAUCAAAAUCAACAACACUGAAUAAACCUUAAUUGAGAAAUUGAAAUCAGUCCAGUGGUAGAAUCGACUGUCAAUUGAAUCGGAGAAGGAAAGACAUAAACGCAAAUGGAGAAGGAAAAAAGAAAUAGAUUCAUCAUCCCACUCGAAUCGAUUCAAGAAGGCGAGAACCAACUAAUACCUUCUUCAGGUAUCUCAAUGGAAAUACCCAGAAAUGGUAUUCUCCGUAGAAAUAGUAUUCUUGCUUAUUUCGAUGAUCCUCAAUAUAUAAGAAAGAGCUCGGGACUUACUAAAUAUGAGACUCGAGAACUAAAUUCAAUCGUCAACGAAGAGAAUUUGAUUGAGUAUCGAGGAGUCAAGGUAUUUUGGCCAAAAUAUAAACAGAAAGGGGGAGAGAUUCCUGCUUGCCUACUUCGCGGAUCGAAGGGAGAAGACCUAUUAAAAAAAACAGACAAGAGAAGAGAUCAAGAUGACUACCAAAUUCAUACCAGAAUCCUUGAUUGUACUAGCUUAAAAUCAAGAAAACAAUGAGAGACAUUCAAUCCUAGAAUUAGCUCUAUCCCACCUCCAAUGAGAUGUUUUAAGCAUAUGGGUUAGUGGCAGUUGAAUGAAACUAGAAAGAGUGAGGGAUAUGGUUAUUUCUUCUCGUUCAGCUUCUCCAAUAUCCGUUGUUUUAGGACUUGAACUAGAUAGGGAAGUUUCCUUCUUUUCUGUUGAGGCUCAUUCCGGAGCAUCCCGCGCAUCUCUGUCAAGCCCUCCAACCUCUUAUUUCUUGGUAUAUGUUGUCUUUCCUCAAGGCUAAACCCAAAGGUAUCUAAGGGAAUCAAACCCAGCUUAUGAGUGGGGUCUUUGCCUGGAAAAAGGCUUUCACUAUAGAAAAUUCUCAAGUAGAUGUUCCCUGAAAUGGUUGCUCUUUCGAAAGCAAUGGUUGCUAGGAAUGGUUUUGCUGUCUAGCUCUUGCAAGCAAGGCGUGAAGCGAUUCUCUUGAGCUCUAACCGGCUAAACCCGCUUUGGUGGCCCGCCCUAUGUCUUGCCCACAGCUGGCUUCUUUGCUAGAUGAUAUCGAAUAGUACGACUAGAGUUCAAUCCCUCAGAAAGUCAUAGUACGACUACAGGGAAAGAGAUCUGAAAGUAGCCUUUUACCCCAUUAUUUGAUAGUGAAUGCAACCUAGCUCUCCCCAUUCAAUAGGCUAAGUCUAUCCCUUUGCUAUAAAGCUAAGACAGAACUCAGCUAGGACCGAAGAUAGGAUUGCCAACCGGAUGAAAACUGAAGAGAGCAUUGCCAGUUUCAUUCCAGUCUUUUCUCAAUUGAGAAGUCAACCAACAAGUCAAUCCUUCCCUUAUAUCAUAUCCAUUUUACACAGUCUUUGUUGAAAUAGUGUAAAUAGUGCGAGACUUUCAAUAACCGAAGGAGCCCUUUUCUAUUCCUUCGCCUUUCUUUCAUUCAAUUAGAAAGUUCCUUCUUUUUGUUACCCGGCUUUGGUGAGAUAGGAUCGGAAAAAGGUCUAACUCUCAUUACCGUGGAAUGCAGAAGGCCUCGGCGACGGUGACGGGAAGGAAGGAGGAAGCUGAAGUCUGAAACACUGAAUAAACCCUAAUAAACCUCACUGGUCGCCUACUCGCUUGUCAUUGGUCGCCUGCCUACUCGCCUGUCGCAGUCGGAGUACACUACAGUCUACAGGUCCUACCAUGUAUAAUCGUGUAUAAUGGGAAGGAAGGAAUCCUACAAGAAGGAAGGAGGAAGUUGAAGUCGUAACCUAGGCAUCAUUCGUAUUAUCGUGUAUAAUCGUAUUGUCAAUUGUGAUUUGUGAUUUGUGAAGGGGCUGACCGAGAAUGAGAAUGAACAAGACGAAAUAAGGAAAAUUAAAGCCCUAAUUUCCCAUUUGUAUUUUAAAUUAAAUAUAUAUAUAUUUUGUAUAAAUAUAAACGGGGCCCCCGCGGGAGUACGGGACGGAAAUACUCAUUCCAUAGAAAUUGUCAGCAUGAUAUCUAACAGAGGAUUGUACGAUCCCUUAUCUAAAGGACAAGAUUGAUUAGAUCAGAGUUUGACAGCGUCUUUGAGAGCUAUGAUUGCAAAUCGAAUUGUACUUGUGCAUAUAUUUACUAGACUUAUCCAAGUGGGAGACUGUUGGAAUAGUGUCUAAGGCUG
This 8645-nucleotide long non-coding RNA is filed under the name Lactuca sativa (garden lettuce). RNAcentral describes it as "long non-coding RNA (LSAT_LNC006095)". Lineage: Eukaryota; Viridiplantae; Streptophyta; Magnoliopsida; Asterales; Asteraceae. The record is from RNAcentral.